RNAcentral lists this ribosomal RNA (465 nucleotides) under uncultured bacterium. RNAcentral's name for it is "partial 16S ribosomal RNA". It matches the Rfam family "Bacterial small subunit ribosomal RNA", at positions 28 to 507 of the family's 1533-position model. The record is from RNAcentral.
GACGAACGCUGGCGGCGUGCUUAACACAUGCAAGUCGAACGGAAAGGCCCCUUUGGGGGUACUCGAGUGGCGAACGGGUGAGUAACACGUGAGUAACCUGCCCUUGACUUCGGGAUAACUUCAGGAAACUGGGGCUAAUACCGGAUAGGAAUCCUUGCUGCAUGGUGGGGGUUGGAAAGCUUCGGCGGUUUUGGAUGGACUCGCGGCUUAUCAGCUUGUUGGUGGGGUAGUGGCUUACCAAGGCUUUGACGGGUAGCCGGCCUGAGAGGGCGACCGGCCACAUUGGGACUGAGAUACGGACCAGACUCCUACGGGAGGCAGCAGUGGGGAAUAUUGCACAAUGGGCGGAAGCCUGAUGCAGCAACGCCGCGGGCGGGAUGACGGCCUUCGGGUUGGAAACCGCUUUCAGCAGGGGCGAAGCUUGUGGUGACGGUACCUGCAGAAGAAGCACCGGCUAACUACGUG